This 3810-nucleotide long non-coding RNA is filed under the name Hordeum vulgare. RNAcentral describes it as "long non-coding RNA (HVUL_LNC006736)". The record is from RNAcentral. Lineage: Eukaryota; Viridiplantae; Streptophyta; Magnoliopsida; Poales; Poaceae.
CCCCUCCCUCUUCCCUCCAUCCCUCGUCCGCCGCCACGCUCCCUCCCCCCUCCUCCCCCCUCCCCUCCCAUCUGCCUCUCUGACCCGCGGGACCCGGGCCUGGAUCCGCUCGCCGACGCGCCGCAGGACCCGCACGGCCUCACCACCCGUCGCCGCCGUCGGGGCUGCCGCACGCGCCACCAGCUCGCCUCCUCCCCACCAAUCCCUCGUCCUCGCCACCAACCCUAGCCAUUCAUCCCUGCCACCUCUCCUUCCCCACAUCCAUACUCUCCAUCCGUUGUCGCCGCCAUACCGCCACCCCUAUCUCCCCUCCUCAUGCAUCCUCUCUCCUCGUAACAUCUAGUCGGACGAGAAUGCGACGACGGCGAUGGUGGCAUCUCCCGGCGACGACAGUGGGGUGGGCGAGGUUGCAAGGCGACGACCCGAGGCAGCGAUGCAGGAGAAGCUCGGGGGCCUCAUGGGUUGGGGAGAUGGCUUGGGGUCCUCAUGGAUUGGCGAGAUGGAGGCCACCCGAGUUUCUUCGAUCGAUCUGCGAUCUGGUCAGGGCCACGGCAGCGCGGGCGAGGGUCACAGGCGAGCGACCCUCUGCAGCCUGUUGUAGCUCUAUUGCUACACAUAUAUGGGCAAGAAAUGCAAGUAUUGUGGUUCUGAUGAUGUCUGAGUGUAUCUUGUGUAUGUGCAGAUAAGAAGCCCUGAUCAGAAGUGCUUUAUAGAUGUCCUGUAAGCUUUCUAGACAUACAUGUUGUUUCCAGUCUCUCUCGGCUUCCCCAGUCCUGAAGGUAAUAAUAUGAUUCUUUAUAUUGUUUGCCCAAAUUAAGAAGUGAACUUUUGCUCUGUAUUUACUCGUUGUGUGUCCUGUAAACUCGAAGCUUUCUAGGCGUACAUGUGCAUGUGUAUUUAUGAGUUACUAAUUGAUAUGAAUUCUGAAUGCUGUUUGCCCAAAUUCAGAAUUGAACUUUUGUUGUAUAUCUGCUUGCUGCAUGUCCUAUAAUCUCUAAGCUUUCUAGACGUGCAUGCACACGUGUAUUUGUUAGGUAAUAAUAUAAUUUCUGUAUGUUGUUUGCCAAAAUUCAGAACUAAGCUUUUUCUAUAUAUUUGCUCGCUGAUGUGGGAUGUGCUGUAAACUGUAAGCUUCUAGGUCGUACAUGUACACGUGUAUUUGUAAAACUCACAACAUUAUGACUUCACAAACCAUUUAAACAAACGGUAUGCAUAUAAAAAAUAUAGACAAGAGGUAAAAUUGAUAAUCCUUAUGCAUGCUCUGAAUUAUAGCGACAGCUGGUCUAUAAUACAAUAUAAUGCGUGGAACAACUUCACGGGACAAAGAAGCCUAAGGUUGUACUCAUGGAGGAGGUUGACAGUAUAUACGGUGGUGGAAUGUGACAAAUGUGACGGAUAAUACUUAGGUUGUAUCUCAAAGGUUCUGUAGUGGGAGCAUUUCAUUGUACAUAAUGCUUCAUGGGAUAUGUAAUUUUUUAUUCCCAUGGUCUCUUCUUGAUCUAAUUUUAACCAUCAAUCUGAUAUUUUAUUUGCACAAAUGAUGAAUUUUCCUGCAGUGUGGAGAGCCUAUAUGUUGAUGACCAACUGCCUUAGAUUUGCUUGUGAGCAAUUCAUAUAUCAUGAGCUACCAUUUUGUUUUCUUCUAGAUCAAGAUUGAUUAACUUGCAUUUAAGUACCAUUUUGGGGAUUUUGUCGAUAAUGUUAUUCAUCAUGAGUGUUUCAAUUUCAAUAGUCCUCACAUGAACAUGCUGAUUUUAAAUUUCGCAAAAUAAAGCGGGUCUAACAGUUUACUUCUUUCUGACGUAAUGAGGCUGCUAUUGCCUGUUGAUAUUUCACGACUGCUAUCGCCUGCUGAUAUUUAACAUUAAUGAUGAGCUUGACACAAGCUUUUGGGUCGAUUACUUUCUGCCUUCUUUUACAAACAUCAUUAUUAUUUUUUAAUUUUUUGCUUCCUUUUUUUGUCAAGUUGUCAUAUGUGGUAUUGUUUGUCAAGCAUUGAUAUUUUUUUCACGUACAAUUCAUUCUUUUUGCUCACUUACUUGGAUGUUCAAAAAUAUGAUAAAUGUGGGACCUUGGUGCUAGAUGAGACAAUGACAUGUACUACAGAAAGGAAAAGUAAGCUCCCGUUAUCAUUGACUUGCACUAUUUAUCCUAAAUACAUAUAGUUAAUUCCAUUUCUGUUUAUAUGUUGGUUAGUUGCACUAUAUGAUAUAGCUAGCUAUGUAUUUUCUUUAUAAAGUAGGUGUAAAUAAGCUAUGGCAAGCUAUGUAGUUUUCUUUAUAAAGUAGGUGUAAAUAAGCUAUCGCAAGCUAUCUUCCUAGCUUCCUUUUGAUGUAAAUUGAUGCUUUUAGUCUAUCAUGCUUCUAUUAUAGGCUUGAUAUGCCUGAGCUAGUUAUGUAUAAUGACACCAUCUAAGUAUCUCCUUGCAUUGGUAUGCCUAAACCAUAAUGUUAUCAGGGUCGAUAAAACAUGACAUCUAACUUUAAUGGUUUUAAUGCUUGGUUUUGCUUUGGCUAUUUGCACCAGUUGUACAAGAAGUCUCUGUUUUUAUUCCACAUACCCAAGGACAAUAUAUUUUUGUUCAACUACAAUAUUUCAAAUGGAAAAACACAAACUUUUUUUUGAAUGGUAACUAAUUAGACCCGACCAUGAGUGAGCCAAGGGAUUGUUGGAUGGCAGAAUCCCCCCUUGCAUAGGUACACGCUCCCUCGCUGCCUUUCCCAGUUUCACUCGCUGCCAGAGCGAGAACACUAUGUUUUUGUGGGGUUUGUUCUGGAAACAGAGACAACAUAUCUCGAUGCGAAAUGGUUCAACCCUCAGGUUUUAAUGUUGUAUGUUUAGCCAUUAUUAGGUAUAUGAAAAAGUAUUUCGCUACCACCGUGCUUCUAUUCUGCAUGUUAUUUUUGUCAUAGGAUGCAUGCCACAUCAUUAGUACUCCUUCCGUUCCUAAAUAUUUGUCUUUUUAGAGAUUCAACUACGGACUACAUAUUCAACUACGGACUACAUACGGAGCAAAAUGAGUGAACUUACACUCUAAAUUAUAUCUAUAUACAUCUGUAUGUAGUCCAUAGUGAAAUCUUUAGAAAGACAAAUAUUUAGGAACAUAAGGAGUAUUAAGUAUGAGGUAGGGGUUUUAGGCCUUUAGGUAGAUCUCAAGGUCUCAUUGAGAUUUAUAGAUCGUAGUACCAGCACAUGGGAGGGUCUGAUUGUUGGUAGCAACCAGUGAGAGAGAGAAAACAUUUAAUAGAGAUGCCCGUGUAAUCGUAUUAAUGUGACCAUGUUUAUGUAUAUGAGUUCCAUUUUUUUCGUAAAUUUGUCGGUUUGCAAUUUAUCUUUUGCCGAGGCAAAAGAAACGAUCUGUGUGGGAGAACUAAUGUAUUCUAGGGUGAUGUCUUAAUUGCAGGUAAAAAAAGAUUUUGAAUGUAUAUGACGAAAUGAAGGCCAACAAUAUCGAAACCUGGUCUACAAGAACCAAACAAACCUACAAUGAAGAGUUGUUUAGACGAUGAAAUCAUGUUCAAUAUUGAUGGAACAUGUAGUGAUGGCUCUACCUAAUAUCACCAGCCUUCAUGUCUUCCCUGUUGACAUCAGAUACAAGACUCAGCUAGGAGUUAAGAGACCAACUCUAUCUAUACAAUGCAUCACUACUAAAAUAGCUUGCUUUAUAAAGCCAAUGUAGGCUAUCAAGUGAUUUCAUAGCUUUCUUUUGAGCUAUCAUGCUACCAUGUAAUGAAAUAUAUAACGCGGUGUGCCUAGGUAUCUAUUAAAUUGGCUUUAAAUCACUCUCAUUUUCAUGGCCUGAAUGCUCGG